RNAcentral lists this ribosomal RNA (253 nucleotides) under uncultured bacterium. RNAcentral describes it as "partial 16S ribosomal RNA". It matches the Rfam family "Bacterial small subunit ribosomal RNA", at positions 524 to 776 of the family's 1533-position model. The record is from RNAcentral.
UACGAAGGGGGCUAGCGUUGUUCGGAAUUACUGGGCGUAAAGCGCGCGCAGGCGGUUCUUUAAGUCAGGGGUGAAAUCCUGGAGCUCAACUCCAGAACUGCCUUUGAUACUGAAGAUCUUGAGUUCGGGAGAGGUGAGUGGAACUGCGAGUGUAGAGGUGAAAUUCGUAGAUAUUCGCAAGAACACCAGUGGCGAAGGCGGCUCACUGGCCCGAUACUGACGCUGAGGCACGAAAGCGUGGGGAGCAAACAGG